CUGCAAUCUUGCAUCUGGCUAAUGCUUACAAAGGCUGGCUGUUUGCUUGGGAGUUUGCUAGCCAGCCACAGGCAGAUACACCAUUACAGCCUCCUGCAGUAGGAGGGAAGAUGUCACCUCCUAACACCUUUUUCAUGAAGAUUGAUGCCUCUUCACUCCUUUCUGUGUAGCUAAAUAUCCACUGAGCUUUUAGCAGAAGUAAGGCUGUAUGGUCUACCUGAAGAGGGUGAAGCUUCAGGCAGUGUUGCCAGUGGACAACCUGACAAUGUCAGGCAGAGUGGGAUAUAUCUCAGAGAGUUUGAUGCAUCCAAUAGCUCUGGACCUUGUUUCAGUUAAACUCGAGUCUCGGAAAACACAGAACCAGUUGCAGAAGUUGUUACUUGCUGAAAAAGCUGAAGGUUUUGUCCCACUGAGAGUGGAGAAGCAUCUUCUUGCCAGCCUGAGAUGUGGAGACAGCUCAGCCCUGCAGGACUGCGCACCCGUUUGUCGACACCUGAGGGAAGGAUCUGCAGUGAGAGCUACCAAGCACUCUGUUCUGUAAUCAUAUCUCCAAGUACCAGUGCCUGUCCUCAAGGUAUCUCACCUCUGAUGCUUCUCAGAGAAGUAUCUCAUCUUAGCCCCAGUCCCUGAUGGAGGAUAUAACACAGUAAAUGUAAAUAUCCAGCCCUGAGAACUCUUCAUUUCCUGAAACAAAGUGCUUUUGUCCCCAUGAUGAAGCUGACUCAGGAAGCAUUACAUUAUCUGUUCUGCUCUCUAAAGGCCUGAUCCUGCUCUCCUUUCUCUCACAAAAGACAAGGUCGUGCCAUUAAAGUUAAUAACAUGAUGCAUACAGAAGUGAGAAGAACAUGAUGUG
Molecule: long non-coding RNA, 853 nt
Organism: Melopsittacus undulatus (budgerigar)
Lineage: Eukaryota; Metazoa; Chordata; Aves; Psittaciformes; Psittaculidae
Exons: 3
Source: RefSeq, a predicted model, not a curated record